CGCAUCUGUGCAUGCAGCAUAUCAAUAAGCGAGGAAAAGAGGGCUAUUACCUACGCUUAGGAUGUUGACACACGCGCGUGCUCGACUCUAUACAUGACUCUGUGCAUAUCAAUAAGCGGAGGAAAAGAAACUAACAAGGAUUCCCCUAGUAACGGCGAGUGAAGCGGGAAGAGCUCAAAUUUGAAAUCUUAAAGGGUUUCCCUUUACGAAUUGUAGUUUAAAGAAGUGUUUUCUGUUGAGGUUUUGGUAAAAGUUCUUUGGAAUAGGACAUCAUAGAGGGUGAGAAUCCCGUAUUUGACCUUUACUUUCAACCUUGUGAUACACUUUCAAAGAGUCGGAUUGUUUGGGAAUGCAGUCCAAAAUGGGUGGUAAAUUUCAUCUAAAGCUAGAUAUUGGCGAGAGACCGAUAGCGAACAAGUACCGUGAGGGAAAGAUGAAAAGAACUUUGAAAAGAGAGUUAAACAGUACGUGAAAUUGUCAAAAGGGAAGCGUUUGACACCAGUGUUGUUUUUCUGAAAAUCAAUUAAAGAACUGUUUAUGCUAAGUUGUUUAGACUUUAUCAGCUAACUGUUUAGUUUUGAGCUUUUCUUUAAUGCACUUUUCAGUUAACAAGUCAACAUCAAUUUCUUUUGCUGUAAAAAAGCUUGAGGAAGGUGGCUUGAGAUUCGUCUUAAGUGUUUAUAGCCUCUUGCCUAUGCAGUCGGAGAGAUUGAGGUCUGCAGCGUAGAUCCUUCGGGGCUAAAUGCAUUUGUGCUAAGUUAUAACAUUUUAUAGACAACUUGUUGACUAUGAUUUGUCUUGUAGCUUACUCGCUUAUGUUAUUUUACCUACGCUUAGGAUGUUGACAGCAGUAUAGACUGU
RNAcentral lists this ribosomal RNA (861 nucleotides) under uncultured Neocallimastigales. RNAcentral's name for it is "partial large subunit ribosomal RNA". It matches the Rfam family "Eukaryotic large subunit ribosomal RNA", at positions 1 to 637 of the family's 3401-position model. Lineage: Eukaryota; Fungi; Neocallimastigomycota; Neocallimastigomycetes; Neocallimastigales. The record is from RNAcentral.